CCUACGGGAGGCAGCAGUGGGGAAUAUUGCACAAUGGGGGAAACCCUGAUGCAGCAACGCCGCGUGGAGGAAGAAGCUUCUCGGCGCGUAAACCCCUUUUGUUAGGGAAGAUAAUGACGGUACCUGAAGAAGAAGCACCGGCUAACUCCGUGCCAGCAGCCGCGGUAAUACGGAGGGGGCAAGCGUUAUUCGGAUUAACUGGGCGUAAAGGGCGCGCAGGCGGGAUUGCAAGUCAGAAGUGAAAGCCCAGGGCUAAACCAAAGGACUGCAGUUGAAACUGCUUGGCUAGAGUGUAGGAGAGGUAGGCGGAAUUCUUGGUGUAGCGGUGAAAUGCGUAGAGAUCAGGAGGAAGACUGAUGGCGAAGGCGGCCUGCUGGAAUACAACUGACGUUGAGGCGCGAAAGCGUGGGGAGCAAACAGGAUUAGAUACCCGGGUAGUC
RNAcentral lists this ribosomal RNA (440 nucleotides) under uncultured bacterium. RNAcentral's name for it is "partial 16S ribosomal RNA". It matches the Rfam family "Bacterial small subunit ribosomal RNA", at positions 338 to 795 of the family's 1533-position model. The record is from RNAcentral.